Molecule: ribosomal RNA, 443 nt
Filed under: uncultured bacterium
Lineage: Bacteria
Description: partial 16S ribosomal RNA
Rfam family: Bacterial small subunit ribosomal RNA
Source: RNAcentral
CCUACGGGAGGCAGCAGUGGGGAAUAUUGCUCAAUGGGCGAAAGCCUGACCCAGCAACGCCGCGUGAAGGAAGAAGGCUUUCGGGUUGUAAACUUCUUUUAACAGGGACGAAAGAAAUGACGGUACCUGAAUAAGAAGUCCCGGCUAACUACGUGCCAGCAGCCGCGGUAAUACGUAGGGGGCAAGCGUUAUACGGAGUUACUGGGUGUAAAGGGUGAGUAGGAGGCAUGGUAAGCCAGAUGUGAAAGCAUUGGGCUUAACCGGAGGAUUGCAUUUGAAACUGUCAGUCUUGAGUACAGGAGAGGAAGGCGGAAUUCCUAGUGUAGCGGUGAAAUGCGUAGAUAUUAGGAAGAACACCAGUGGCGAAGGCGGCUUGCUGGACUGCAACUGACGCUGAGGCACGAAAGCGUGGGGAGCAAACAGGAUUAGAUACCCUGGUAGUC